GGAGAAUUUUGGACAAUGGGCGCAAGCCUGAUCCAGCCAUGCCGCGUGUGUGAAGAAGGCCUUCGGGUUGUAAAGCACUUUAAGCGGGGAGGAAGGCCUGAUGGCUAAUAUCCAUCAGGAUUGACGUUACCCGCAGAAUAAGCACCGGCAAACUUCGUGCCAGCAGCCGCGGUAAUACGAAGGGUGCGAGCGUUAAUCGGAAUUACUGGGCGUAAAGCGCGCGUAGGUGGUUAAGUAAGCGAUCUGUGAAAGCCCCGGGCUUAACCUGGGAACUGCAGGUCGAACUGCUUGGCUAGAGUAUGGUAGAGGGGUGUGGAAUUUCCUGUGUAGCGGUGAAAUGCGUAGAUAUAGGAAGGAACAUCAGUGGCGAAGGCGACACCCUGGACCGAUACUGACACUGAGGCGCGAAAGCGUGGGUAGCGAAC
This 425-nucleotide ribosomal RNA is filed under the name uncultured bacterium. RNAcentral describes it as "bacterial SSU rRNA". It matches the Rfam family "Bacterial small subunit ribosomal RNA", at positions 356 to 773 of the family's 1533-position model. The record is from RNAcentral.